GGCUUCGUAGCUCAUCUGGUAAAGCGCUUGCCACGCUGAGGUAUAGUGUUUCUGUCGCUGGUUCGAAUCCAGCCGAAGCCC
This 81-nucleotide transfer RNA is filed under the name Paragonimus skrjabini miyazakii. RNAcentral's name for it is "Paragonimus miyazakii tRNA". It matches the Rfam family "tRNA". From Rfam's summary of the family: Transfer RNA (tRNA) molecules are approximately 80 nucleotides in length. Their secondary structure includes four short double-helical elements and three loops (D, anti-codon, and T loops). Further hydrogen bonds mediate the characteristic L-shaped molecular structure. tRNAs have two regions of fundamental functional importance: the anti-codon, which is responsible for specific mRNA codon recognition, and the 3' end, to which the tRNAs corresponding amino acid is attached (by aminoacyl-tRNA synthetases). tRNAs cope with the degeneracy of the genetic code in two manners: having more than one tRNA (with a specific anti-codon) for a particular amino acid; and 'wobble' base-pairing, i.e. permitting non-standard base-pairing at the 3rd anti-codon position. Lineage: Eukaryota; Metazoa; Platyhelminthes; Trematoda; Plagiorchiida; Troglotrematidae. The record is from Rfam by way of RNAcentral.